RNAcentral lists this ribosomal RNA (618 nucleotides) under Erysiphe sedi. Its description in RNAcentral is "eukaryotic LSU rRNA". It matches the Rfam family "Eukaryotic large subunit ribosomal RNA", at positions 173 to 806 of the family's 3401-position model. The record is from RNAcentral. Lineage: Eukaryota; Fungi; Ascomycota; Leotiomycetes; Helotiales; Erysiphaceae.
GGCUCGGCCUAAGUUCCUUGGAACAGGACGUCAUAGAGGGUGAGAAUCCCGUAUGUGGCCAUGGCCCGCGCCUAUGUAAAGCUCUUUCGACGAGUCGAGUUGUUUGGGAAUGCAGCUCAAAAUGGGUGGUAAAUUUCAUCUAAAGCUAAAUAUGGGCCAGAGACCGAUAGCGCACAAGUAGAGUGAUCGAAAGAUGAAAAGCACUUUGGAAAGAGAGUUAAACAGUACGUGAAAUUGUUGAAAGGGAAGCGCUUGCAACCAGACUUGGGCGCUGCCGAUCACCCCGAGUUCUCUCGGGUGCACUCGACAGCGCACAGGCCAGCAUCGGUUCGGGUGGCUGGAUAAAGGCCGUAGGAAUGUAGCUCUCUUCGGGGAGUGUUAUAGCCCACGGUGCCAUGCAGCCCAGCCGGACCGAGGACCGCGCCUUCGGGCUAGGAUGCUGGCGUAAUGGUUGUAAGCGACCCGUCUUGAAACACGGACCAAGGAGUCUAACAUCUAUGCGAGUGUUUGGGCGUUAAACCCAUACGCGGAAUGAAAGUGAACGUAGGUGAGAACCCCUUUGGGGCGCAUCAUCGACCGAUCCUGAUGUCUUCGGAUGGAUUUGAGUAAGAGCAUAGC